This 737-nucleotide ribosomal RNA is filed under the name uncultured bacterium. RNAcentral's name for it is "bacterial SSU rRNA". It matches the Rfam family "Bacterial small subunit ribosomal RNA", at positions 748 to 1499 of the family's 1533-position model. The record is from RNAcentral.
GAACGCCGGCCAGUGUGUGAAAUCGGGCUUAUUAGAUACCCUGGUAGUCACACGGGUUAACGAUGAAUACUCGCUGUNUGCGAUAUACUGCAAGCGGCCAAGCGANAGCGUUAAGUAUUCCACCUGGGGAGUACGCGGGCACGGUGAAACUCAAAGGAAUUGACGGGGGCCCGCACAAGCGGAGGAACAUGUGGUUUAAUUCGAUGAUACGCGAGGAACCUUACCCGGGCUUAAAUUGCAUUUGAAUAAUUUGGAAACAGGUUAGCCGCAAGGCAGAUGCGAAGGUGCUGCAUGGUUGUCGUCAGCUCGUGCCGUGAGGUGUCGGCUUAAGUGCCAUAACGAGCGCAACCCUUGUCUAUAGUUACUAACAGGUGAUGCUGAGGACUCUAUGGAGACUGCCAUCGUAAGAUGUGAGGAAGGUGGGGAUGACGUCAAAUCAGCACGGCCCUUACGUCCGGGGCUACACACGUGUUACAAUGGGGGGUACAGAGGGCCGCUACCACGCAAGUGGAUGCCAAUCCCGAAAACCCCUCUCAGUUCGGACUGGAGUCUGCAACCCGACUCCACGAAGCUGGAUUCGCUAGUAAUCGCGCAUCAGCCACGGCGCGGUGAAUACGUUCCCGGGCCUUGUACACACCGCCCGUCAAGCCAUGGGAGCCGGGGGUACCUGAAGUGCGUCACCGCGAGGAGCGCCCUAGGGUAAAACUGGUGACUGGGGCUAAGUCGUAACAAGGUUC